GCUUGAGAGAACUCGGGUGAAGGAACUAGGCAAAAUGGCACCGUAACUUCGGGAGAAGGUGCGCCCUUUGGUGUGGUCACGUGCGUGACUGAGCAUUGAAGGGUCGCAGUAACCUGGCCGCUGCGACUGUUUAUCAAAAACACAGCACUCUGCAAACACGAAAGUGGACGUAUAGGGUGUGACGCCUGCCCGGUGCUGGAAGGUUAAUUGAUGGGGUCAGCCGCAAGGCGAAGCUCUUGAUCGAAGCCCCAGUAAACGGCGGCCGUAACUAUAACGGUCCUAAGGUAGCGAAAUUCCUUGUCGGGUAAGUUCCGACCUGCACGAAUGGCGUAACGACAGCGGCGCUGUCUCCACCCGAGACUCAGUGAAAUUGAAAUCGCUGUGAAGAUGCAGCGUUCCCGCGGCAAGACGGAAAGACCCCGUGAACCUUUACUAUAGCUUUACACUGAACGUUGAGUUCUUCUGUGUAGGAUAGGUGGGAGGCUAUGAAACCAGGACGCUAGUUCUGGUGGAGCCAUCCUUGAAAUACCACCCUGAAGUGCUUGACGUUCUAACCUAGGCCCGUAAUCCGGGUCAGGGACCGUGUAUGGUGGGUAGUUUGACUGGGGCGGUCUCCUCCCAAAGAGUAACGGAGGAGCACGAAGGUACGCUCAGCGCGGUCGGACAUCGCGCACUGUGUGCAAAGGCAUAAGCGUGCUUGACUGCGAGAUCGACGGAUCAAGCAGGUACGAAAGUAGGUCUUAGUGAUCCGGUGGUUCUGUAUGGAAGGGCCAUCGCUCAACGGAUAAAAGGUACUCCGGGAUAACAAGCUGAUACCGCCCAAGAGUUCAUAUCGACGACGGUGUUUGGCACCUCGAUGUCGGCUCAUCACAUCCUGGGGCUGUAGCCGGUCCCAAGGGUAUGGCUGUUCGCCAUUUAAAGUGGUACGCGAGCUGGGUUCAGAACGUCGUGAGACAGUUCGGUCCCUAUCUGUCGUGGGCGUUGGAGAUUUGAGGGGGGCUGCUCCUAGUACGAGAGGACCGGAGUGGACGUUCCGCUGGUGUUCGGGUUGUCAUGCCCAUGGCAUUGCCCGGUAGCUACGAACGGAAGUGAUAACCGCUGAAAGCAUCUAAGCGGGAAGCACGCCCCAAGAUGAGAUCUCCCGAGAGCUUGACUCUCCUAAAGGCACCAUCAAGACUAGGUGGUUGAUAGGUCAGGUGUGGAAGCGCAGCAAUGCGUUGAGCUAACUGAUACUAAUGAGCCGUGAGGCUUGAUC
RNAcentral lists this ribosomal RNA (1255 nucleotides) under metagenome. RNAcentral's name for it is "bacterial LSU rRNA". It matches the Rfam family "Bacterial large subunit ribosomal RNA", at positions 1688 to 2925 of the family's 2925-position model. The record is from RNAcentral.